UACGUAGGGGGCAAGCGUUAUCCGGAUUUACUGGGUGUAAAGGGAGCGCAGGCGGUGCGGCAAGUCAGAUGUGAAAACCCGGGGCUCAACCCCGGGACUGCAUUUGAAACUGUCGGACUAGAGUGCCGGAGAGGUAAGUGGAAUUCCUAGUGUAGCGGUGAAAUGCGUAGAUAUUAGGAGGAACACCAGUGGCGAAGGCGGCUUACUGGACGGUAACUGACGCUGAGGCUCGAAAGCGUGGGGAGCAAACAGG
RNAcentral lists this ribosomal RNA (253 nucleotides) under uncultured organism. Its description in RNAcentral is "partial 16S ribosomal RNA". It matches the Rfam family "Bacterial small subunit ribosomal RNA", at positions 524 to 776 of the family's 1533-position model. The record is from RNAcentral. RNAcentral also lists the same sequence under 1 other name.